RNAcentral lists this long non-coding RNA (352 nucleotides) under Sorghum bicolor (sorghum). RNAcentral's name for it is "long non-coding RNA (SBIC_LNC009366)". The record is from RNAcentral. Lineage: Eukaryota; Viridiplantae; Streptophyta; Magnoliopsida; Poales; Poaceae.
UGAGGGGGAGAGGACGGCGCGGCCUGUGAAGACGCCCUGGACGAUGAACGGGGAGAGGACGACCUGAGACCGACGGCUCGGACGAGCUACGCUCGGACGCGCGACGCUCGAAGCAGCGGACCUGCCCGGACGCGCGACGCGCGGAGGCACGUACCCGCCCGGACGCACGCGGAGACCGGCCGCUCGCCGCGGACACGCGACGCGUGGAGGCGCGUACCCGCCCGGACGCGCGCGGAGACCGGCCGCUCGCCGCGGACUCGCGACGCUCGGAGGCGCGGUCCGCCGGUCCCGCCCGGACGCGCGAGGAGACCGCCCAGGACUCGCGACGCUCGGAGGCACGGUACCGCCCCGG